GCGCACGUGGUGAAACUGGUAGACACGCCAUCUUGAGGGGGUGGUGCCUCGGGUGUGGGAGUUCGAAUCUCCCCGCGCGCA
This 81-nucleotide transfer RNA is filed under the name Pontibacter sp. BAB1700. Its description in RNAcentral is "tRNA-Leu". It matches the Rfam family "tRNA". From Rfam's summary of the family: Transfer RNA (tRNA) molecules are approximately 80 nucleotides in length. Their secondary structure includes four short double-helical elements and three loops (D, anti-codon, and T loops). Lineage: Bacteria; Pseudomonadati; Bacteroidota; Cytophagia; Cytophagales; Hymenobacteraceae. The record is from RNAcentral.